UGGGGAAUAUUGGACAAUGGAGGAAACUCUGAUCCAGCAAUUCUGUGUGUGUGAAGAAGGUUUUAGGACUGUAAAACACUUUUAGUAGGGAAGAAAAAAAUGACGGUACCUACAGAAGAAGCAACGGCUAAAUACGUGCCAGCAGCCGCGGUAAUACGUAUGUUGCGAGCGUUAUCCGGAAUUAUUGGGCUUAAAGGGCAUCUAGGCGGUAAGACAAGUUGAAGGUGAAAACCUGUGGCUCAACCAUAGGCUUGCCUACAAAACUGUUGAACUAGAGUACUGGAAAGGUGGGUGGAACUACACGAGUAGAGGUGAAAUUCGUAGAUAUGUGUAGAAAUGCCGAUGAUGAAGAUAACUCACUGGACAGAAACUGACGCUGAAGUGCGAAAGCUAGGGGAGCAAACAGG
RNAcentral lists this ribosomal RNA (407 nucleotides) under Verrucomicrobiota bacterium. RNAcentral's name for it is "Verrucomicrobia bacterium partial 16S ribosomal RNA". It matches the Rfam family "Bacterial small subunit ribosomal RNA", at positions 355 to 776 of the family's 1533-position model. Lineage: Bacteria; Pseudomonadati; Verrucomicrobiota. The record is from RNAcentral.